GGGCCGGUAGCUCAGUCUGGCAGAGCAUCGGACUUUUAAUCCGAGUGU
This 48-nucleotide transfer RNA is filed under the name Dehalococcoidia bacterium. RNAcentral describes it as "tRNA-Lys". It matches the Rfam family "tRNA", at positions 1 to 46 of the family's 71-position model. Rfam says of the family: Transfer RNA (tRNA) molecules are approximately 80 nucleotides in length. Lineage: Bacteria; Bacillati; Chloroflexota; Dehalococcoidia. The record is from RNAcentral.